GACGAACGCNGGCGGCGUGCUUAACACAUGCAAGUCGAACGGAGCGAAUGAAAGCUUGCUUUUAUGAGCUUAGUGGCAAACGGGUGAGUAACACGUAGACAACCUGCCGACAGGAUGGGGACAACAUUCCGAAAGGAAUGCUAAUACCGAAUGAAGCGGAGGAGAGGCAUCUCUCCUCCGUGAAAGAUGGCCUCUAUUUAUAAGCUAUCACCUGUUGAUGGGUCUGCGUCUGAUUAGCUAGUUGGUGAGGUAACGGCUCACCAAGGCGACGAUCAGUAGCCGGUCUGAGAGGAUGAACGGCCACAUUGGGACUGAGACACGGCCCAGACUCCUACGGGAGGCAGCAGUGGGGAAUCUUCCGCAAUGGGCGCAAGCCUGACGGAGCAACGCCGCGUGAGUGAAGAAGGUCUUCGGAUCGUAAAGCUCUGUUGACGGGGACGAACGUGCGGAGUGCGAAUAGCGCUUGUAANGACGGUNCC
Molecule: ribosomal RNA, 479 nt
Filed under: uncultured bacterium
Lineage: Bacteria
Description: bacterial SSU rRNA
Rfam family: Bacterial small subunit ribosomal RNA
Source: RNAcentral